Molecule: ribosomal RNA, 146 nt
Filed under: Busseola sp. BUETG7181
Lineage: Eukaryota; Metazoa; Arthropoda; Insecta; Lepidoptera; Noctuidae
Description: partial 12S small subunit ribosomal RNA
Source: RNAcentral
UCAGAUCAAGAUGCAGAUUAUAGUUAAGAAUAUAAUGGAUUACAAUAAAUUUAUUUAAAUGGAUUUUAAUUUGUAAAAAUUAAUUGAAAGUGGAUUUAAAUGUAAUUUUAUUUAAUUUAAUAAAAUGAUUAAAAAUUAAGAUAUGU